UUGAAUUAGCUUUCGUUAUGUUACUGGACUGUUGUUAAAGACCUUGCGAUCAUCUUGUUGCAGGUGGAGGGUUUCCAGCAGGUGUUGGUGUGGGAGCUGGUGGUGUUGGAACUGGUGCUAAACCACCUAAACCAGGCUACGGCUCUUUGGGUACAGGAUACGCACAGCCAGGUGGUGUAGCUCCAGGAGGAUAUGGAGAAUAUCCACAAGCAUAUCCAGGAGGAUAUGGAGCAGGACUGUCACCACAACAAGCCAAAGCAGCCAAAUACGGAGGUGGACUGACGGGAUUCCUGGGAGCAGGUUAUCGAGGUGGAGCCGGCUGCCAAGGAAAAUACUGCGGGAGGAAGAGAAAGUAAAGGAUCUCUUGAGAUGUGAAGUGACCUCAAGAAACAUGGUGCUACUGCAUGCUCCAGAAUGUACUUUUGAUACUCAAACAAACAAUCCCAACAUGCACAAGUGUUAUGUUUUGUACUGAAGGUAAAUAUUUGUUAUGAAUCCAAGUCCAGAUCUCUGAAACGCCUAGUGUUUUGUGAAAAUAAUUCCAAUCCUAAUGGCACAUUCCAUCAUGUUACUGUUUCCUAUUAUAACCGGGUUGAUUAGCUGGCAAUGCUGUUGUGUAGCUGUAAACGUUUUAACCACGACCUCUUAUUUGUGGACGUUUCUGAGACCAUCCAAAGCUCUUUUGCUCAGUUGCAGUCACGAUCUUGCACUCUAGACUCUUAAAGUAAUUCAAGUAAAAAUCCAUCUUAAAGUAAAAGCCAUCUCUUGCCUGCACAACAUCAUCCAGCGUCCUCGCGACACAUCGGUGGUGCAGGUUUAGAGUCCUGUCAUAGCGUCAUACUGCUGAUUAAAUACUUCACAUCUGGCUGUGCUUCAGCUUAGGGGUUUGCCUGUUAUUUUCACCCUUCAGCAGCUUUACGAUUACAGUCCUUUAUGGGUGACUCUCUCACACACAAAUUAUAUUUUGCAUGAAGAAACGUAAGCCUGUUUUAGGUAGGCGCACAGAUUCUGUUGCUAUUAAACACAUUUUCCACCAAAAUUCUAAUGCAUUUGGUGCUUUAAUUAUUUGUAAUUAUUAAUUGUUCUCGAUGGCAAUAUCUUAUUCUCAUUACUGUAAUGCAGCGUGCUACAAAAAAAGUUUAAUUUAAAAUCAGUAAAACAAAUACUUUCAUGAUGUAUAAAUACUUUUGUAAUGAACUUAUUUUAAUUUCUAACAUUAUUUUCAUUUUCUUCAUGAAAAUAUAAUUUAUUUUAAUUUAGCGAUGAAAUGUGGCCCGUGACAUGUUCUUGACAUGUUUAGUGAGAUUCACCCCCUCUAGAUGAUUUAGGCUUUCAUGAAGCAUCA
RNAcentral lists this long non-coding RNA (1345 nucleotides) under Sinocyclocheilus anshuiensis. RNAcentral's name for it is "lncRNA (ENSSANG00000042306.1)". Lineage: Eukaryota; Metazoa; Chordata; Actinopteri; Cypriniformes; Cyprinidae. The record is from RNAcentral.